RNAcentral lists this unclassified non-coding RNA (1503 nucleotides) under uncultured fungus. RNAcentral's name for it is "sequence contains 18S rRNA gene, ITS1, 5.8S rRNA gene, ITS2, 28S rRNA gene". The stretch from base 558 to 1503 matches the Rfam family "Eukaryotic large subunit ribosomal RNA", at positions 1 to 961 of the family's 3401-position model. The record is from RNAcentral. Lineage: Eukaryota; Fungi.
GGAGGGAUCAUUCGUGAAGCAGGCGCAUCGUCGCCCUUCUCUACCCUUCAACCAUGUGGUCUUCUGCCAUUGCCUCGGGGGGGUUGAGGCGGCCUCGGCCGCCUGGGGCCCCUUCGCUGGGCCCCGCCCCCCCGCGUGCCCCUUGAUAAAGUCUUGGAGUGAUAUUUGCGUCUGAUCAGUCCUGUGGACAUUAUGAAAAUAAAACUUUCAACAACGGAUCUCUUGGCUCUCGCAUCGAUGAAGAACGCAGCAAGAUGCGAUACGUAGUGUGAACUGCGUCUAUUAGUGAAUCAUCGAAUCUUUGAACGCACAUUGCGCCGCCCGUAACUGGGUGGCAUGCCUGUCUGAGCGUCGCCAUAAAACCUCACCGUCCCCCCGGUUUCGGGGUGCGUCGGUGGUCAUGGGUCUCUCGCCCCUGGCCCGCAAGGGCGUUGGGGGGCGUGGCCUGAAAGUCAUUGGUCGCUGGCCCCUCCAUGGGCUCCUCGGUGUGCGAGUCUCAUUGACGUCUCGCCGGGGACGAAGGAGGGGGGAGCCGAGACCCUAAACUAUUGAACCCUCGACCUCAGAUCAGGCAGGACUACGGGCUGAACUUAAGCAUAUCAAUAAGCCCAGGAAGAGAAACCAACAGGGAUUCCCACAGUAGCGGCGAGCGAAGCGGGAAGAGCUCAAUUUUGAAAUCUGGCGUGGAUGACCACGUCCGAGUUGUAAGUGCUAGAGACGUCGUCGGCCCUGGCCCCGGUCGGAGUCCCUUGGAAUAGGGCGCCGUGGAGGGUGAAAGCCCCAUGAGCGGCUGGGAGCCCAGGGUCAUGUGUCGCGUCCUCGAAGAGUCGGGUUGUUUGGGAAUGCAGCUCAAAGCGGGUGGUAAAUUUCACCUAAAGCUAAAUAUUGGCGAGAGACCGAUAGCGAACAAGUAGAGUGAUCGAAAGAUGAAAAGUACUUUGGAAAGAGAGUGAAACAGCGCGUGAAAUUGUUGAAAGGGAAGCGCUUGGCUUCAGCCCUUGGCCUCCGGGGUUCUGCUUGGGUUCUCCCUUGCCUACUCCCCGGCGGCUGGGCCAGCGUCGGUUGGGGCUUCCGGACAAAGGCCCGGGGAACGUGGCCGACCUAGGUCGGCGUUAUAUCCCCGGGCGCAAUACGGUCGCCCCGACCGAGGACCGCGGCUUUGCCAAGGACGCUGGCGUAAUGGAGUCAAGUGUCCCGUCUUGAAACACGGACCAAGGAGUCUAACAUCCCUGCGAGUGUUUGGGUGUCAUGCCCGAGCGCGCAAUGAAAGUGAACGGAGGCGGGAUCCGCAAGGUGCACCGUCGACCGGUCCGGAGGCUCUGCCUAAGGAUCUGAGUAAGAGCAUGGCUGUUGGGACCCGAAAGAUGUUGAACUAUGCCUGAAUAGGGUGAAGCCAGAGGAAACUCUGGUGGAGGCUCGUAGCGAUUCUGACGUGCAAAUCGAUCGUCAAAUUUGGGUAUAGGGGCGAAAGACUAAUCGAAAUAUCUAGUAGCUGGUUCCUGC